RNAcentral lists this non-coding RNA (344 nucleotides) under Haematococcus lacustris. The record is from RNAcentral. Lineage: Eukaryota; Viridiplantae; Chlorophyta; Chlorophyceae; Chlamydomonadales; Haematococcaceae.
CAUGCUCUCCUCUUCUACCGCGUGACCCCUCCCCGCAGCAGGGCCGCAUCACAGCGUGCGGUUCUCAUUAACCCUACAUGUAUCAGCGAGGGAUGCCAAUCAUCCCUUGCCCGCGUACGGGGGCUUGCGGCUGAGUUUCACCCCUGGAGUAGUCGCUUCGCUGGCGACUAGCUUCCAAAGCAAGCUUAGUAGGGAGGGGUCGAGCAGAGGAUCGAAGAAGACCAUGGGCCGAGGGGGGUAGGAUCCUGCAUCAGAGCCGGGAUGGCGAGAUGCAAGCAAUGUCCAGGACAUGCGUCCUGCCCGAGUCCGGGCCUAGUUGGCCACAGGAACAUGCUGCAUAUUGC